This 361-nucleotide ribosomal RNA is filed under the name uncultured bacterium. RNAcentral's name for it is "partial 16S ribosomal RNA". It matches the Rfam family "Bacterial small subunit ribosomal RNA", at positions 338 to 697 of the family's 1533-position model. The record is from RNAcentral.
CCUACGGGAGGCUGCAGUGAGGAAUAUUGGUCAAUGGUCGGGAGACUGAACCAGCCAAGCCGCGUGAGGGAUGAAGGUACAGAGUAUCGUAAACCUCUUUUGUCAGGGAACAAAGGCGGGGACGUGUCCCCGGAUGAGUGUACCCGAAGAAAAAGCAUCGGCUAACUCCGGGCCAGCAGCCGCGGUAAUACGGAGGAUGCGACCGUUAUCCGGAUUUAUUGGGUUUAAGGGGUGCUCAGGCGGUCUGUUAAGUCAGCGUGCAAAGCCCGGGGCUCACCCACGGCCCGCCGUUGAAACUGGCAGUCGUGAGUUGGAGAGAAGUAAGCGGAAUGCGGGGUGUAGCGGGGAAAUGCAUAGAUAU